Molecule: long non-coding RNA, 212 nt
Filed under: Elaeis guineensis (African oil palm)
Lineage: Eukaryota; Viridiplantae; Streptophyta; Magnoliopsida; Arecales; Arecaceae
Description: long non-coding RNA (EGUI_LNC034478)
Source: RNAcentral
UUGGGGCACUAAGAGUAUCCCAAAACUUAGUCUUCUCCCAAAGACUCGAAGGCCUACAUCAUCGAUCCACUCUUUUAGAGCUUUAUUGAGGUGAAAAGAAUCAAUGGAUGGCCAACUCUGAGUGAUGAGAGCAUUGAGGCCUCUCCAGGCUCUUGAGGUGAGAUCGAUGGCUGUGCUGCGAUGGAGUAGCCAGAUCCCAUUGAUUUUACCUU